This is a long non-coding RNA of Passer domesticus (house sparrow), 6620 nucleotides long. RefSeq lists it as uncharacterized. The transcript has 4 exons. Lineage: Eukaryota; Metazoa; Chordata; Aves; Passeriformes; Passeridae. The record is from RefSeq and is a predicted model, not a curated record.
GUGGCUGGGAUUGUUUAUCAAGUUAUUUGGUUGCUCUUAGUUUCCAAAUUUACAUGUAAGUAAUUGAUGAACAAAUUGCCCUACACAGGUACACACAGAAACACGCCAGCCCUGCACAAGCAGCACAUCUGUAGGUGAUCAGGUCACAAAAUGGCAAUGCCUGAUGUGUUUGCUUUUUCCUGCCACUGCUGGCCUCAGCUAUUGGGCCACUGCCACCACCCUGCCAGGGUCCCCCUCAGCCACCCUUCCAUUUGAGCCUCUUUGCUAGAUGGAAUUGCUGGUGGAGAAAAAUGGCUGUUAAAGACUAGAAAAUACUGAUUUAUAUAAAAUACCAAUAUACAGAGAAGGGGAGAGAGAGAUCACGUGUGCAUGCCCUGACGUACUGAGAACUCAGCAUUUGCCAUGAGAGCACUGGGGUUAACAGGACCACUGCCAGUUUUGCAACAGAGUGGUUUUCCACGAGGAGCUGGUGAUGUUUGCUUGUGUCAAUACCACUCAGAAAUUAAGAAUUUGGCUCUAUUUUUCCUGAUCUUUCAGUAUGGUUUUGGCAGGCUUGACAGAAAACAGGUGAGGAGGAUUGGGUAGAGGUGGUUUACUGUGUAGGGCAGCUGUCAACAGAGCCCACCCAGCUCCUGCUUUUGCCAUGCCCUAGGACUGAACACCAGCCCUCUGGAGUAACACGAGUGGUGGCCACCUCCUGUGCUGCUGCAAACUGAGCACCUCUUCCAGCUUGGAGCUGGAAUCCCGUGCUGGUGCUUGUUUGGUGAUGAUCCUGCCGCCAUAGCCCGUCCAUAGCCAGGGCUAGGGGCCUUGCAGAAGGGUGAAGGCUGGGUGAUUUUGUAUCAGCUUCUCUGUGCAUUCGGGCUUUGAGUUCUUAAUAUACAAUGACUCCUGCAGGCACAGAGUUUGUGGUGAUUGGGAUGGGGCUGGGCUGAGCCUCAUCCCCAAUGGGGCUCAGCUGUGAGGAGCAGGUGAGCAGCACUGGAUUAAUGAGCCAUGGAGGGCUGAGGUGUGCUGAGCAACCACCAAAGGGAGCACAGGGCACACAGGUGCACUGCAUCAGCAUGAGGCUAUAAAAGCUGGGCUAAAGAGCAGGAUGGGCAGACACCUGACGCUUUCUGAAGUGGAGUGAUGGGGCUCUGUAUGAACAGACACCUUCUAGAGCGGUUUCCCAGAGGGAGAAAUUCAGAACACAGUGCCUGGAUGGAGUGAUUCCAUAUCCUGUGUGUGAAUAAUCAUCAUUGUUUGGAUAUGGUUGACAGAAUUUGCCCUGCCAAAGGAAAUGUAGAAAGAAGCAAGUAAACAAGUUCUUGCUGAAGUUUGUAUUAAUCAUUCUAGUAAGCUGUAGAGUAGCUGAAGAAUCAUGUGUUCUGGUUUAUCCUUACAAAAAAUGUAAAUAGCAGGUUACAUAUUAAUGCUUAGAAAUCACUAACUUUACUUGCCAAGGAAUUAUACAAUAAUUUUAAAUGAAUGAACAGAAAAGUGUGCAUCAGGCUCAAGUGGCUAUUGCAUGAGCUGGGUUAAACCUGAGGUGUUCCCAAGACAGCAGACCUUUAUCUUUCUUUAGGAUAAUGAUCAAGCAAAUGUUUAAGAAUCUUCCUAAUGAGGUCAUGAGUAAAAUGUGAUUAGUAUUAUUAGACACACAAAUGAACUCUUAUUAAAAUAAUAGAAAAAUCCUGAUAUAUAAAAGGCAUGGUGUAUUAAAUCCAGUUUGACCUGAAGCCAUGCGUUGAAUACCAUUAUUAGGAUCUGUCCUUAAUAAAAGGCUUUCCAUUUAGUCAGUAAAAUUUGAGAUUCUACUCAUUUUGAGCAAAGUUUUUUCCAUGCUUGAAGCGCUGGUCUGCCCCACGUCACGUGGCCCAUGCUGUGCUAAAGCUACAGCAAUGAGAAGAGCAUGCUCAUCCUCUACAUCAGCCCCUAGGUCUGCAUUCAGAAGAAAGGCAAAGCUGCCACAGGCCCUCUGUUUUCUUACAAGCCAAAUAUACACGCUAAGAAUCUGUCAACUCAGUGCUUCGGCAGCUGACACUCCAGCUGAUCCAUCCACGGCAUGGGAAGGUCAGUUAAAUUGCUCUCAGUUUAUUUCAAAAGCUCUCAACCCUUUGUACAGAUGUUGGACUGAGUAAUGACCACUCAAAACCAAAGGAAGUAAAGCAGCUGCUGCCAUCUGAAAAAAAAAUUGCUGUGAGGACAAAGCAGCUCACUCGUGCUGGCCAUAGAGUUAUAACAAUUGUUCCUGCUAUUGAGAAAUUUGUGAGAUCCUAAGCUCACUAUAACAGCACUGAGAUCUUCCCUUGCCUAAGUUACAUCUUUUUUUAGGCACACACCAUUCUGGCCACAGAGUGAUGGAAAUAUUUUUAUUGGUUUUUUUGCUAAUGCAGAAUGAGCAGCUGAAACAGAGGCAAUAUUAAUGAACAUAUUCUGGUCUUGUAAAUCAAGAGUGCCCCUGAGCAAGUAGUGCGUGUUCAGCUCUGGGCACCCAGCUCAAGAAAGAUAUCAUCAAAAUACAUGUGGGAUUUUGAAAUAGACACUACUUAGAAAUGAAAAAUAUAAUCCAAACAAAGAUAGAAAAGACUGGGACCAUUUUCAUUUAGGGUGAUAAAACUUAAUCAAUGAUAUUUGUAUUUGGAACCACUUUUGUAGUCAGUGACAGAAAAGGGAAUGUGAUGAACACUUACUGACCCUUUCCUUCUUAGCAAAAGAAAAUACACAAAUUUUAAAGCUUGGAAAGAAAACUCUUGUGGCAUAUCAUCAAGCUGCAAGUGCUACAAGACAGCAGUGAUGCCAAAAUUUAAGUAAAUUAAAGAAUACAAUUUUUUGCUUUUAACUGCCACUCUGAAUUCAUGUCCAGACAGAGACAUAAAGUGAAACUUUGACAGACUAAAAGGCUUCCCACGUCUGCAUAUUAAAAAGCCUGUAAUUACUAAGGGCUGGGAAGAGGCUGUGCAUGACACGACUUUCUUCUGCAAGAAUUCCUGUAUCGCUACCAAACACUGGACAAGAGCUGGAAAAAAACCCUUCAGGUAUCCCCUGAUAAUACCUCUCUGGAAAGCUUAUAUUUUAAGCUAAGAAGAAGACACAGAGAUAGAAGUUUUUUACUGCUGAGGUACAACAUUUUCCUGAUAAGCCAGUCCUGACACACUAAGAAGUACUGGUUAUAAAGACUAUUUUAAGACAUCAGAACAAAUUACAGUUCUUAAAAACAUCAAACAACCUAGGGACCGAGUUCUGCGUAUCUAUUUUAAGGUUAAACAAAUCAAAUCACACAUAACAAACUUCUCUUCAUGUUUUUAGUACAAAAAAAUAAACCAAACUGAAAAUCAGUACAACACUGGAAACAAGUAUAACCUGUGCAUGCACUGAUUUCUGUUGUAAAUUAAUAAUUUCCAAUAAUUUUUUUUAGGCAAGCAGGGAAAAACGGUUAAAUUUCAAAUUAUGGCUUUCAAACACAUUAAUGCAGAAGACCAAGUUCAGUCUAUCAGCUGGCAUUUUGUCCCUUCCUUGUUGUGUGAGCUUGUAUUAAUGUGACAUCCUCAUGGCCACUGGCUGGUCAGUACAAUGUGAGUAUGACAUGGGUAAGCAAUAUUAGGAUAUUGUGCCAUUGUUCUUGGGAGCACUGCAGCAGCUGAAAACAUGGAAAAGGAGACAGCAAUAUAUGACCAGCAAGCAUUUUGUGAAGCAACAGUGAGCCAAUAAAGCAGCUUUCAAACUGCUCAAUUUGAGCAUGUGUGGUACAAGGAUCUGGGUGUUCUACCUGCUUCCCCUGCCUGCACCCACAACCUCUUUCGAGCAACUGCAAGACUAAACUGAGCAAUGGGACAUGAGAUAACAGACAUGGAGGUACUUAACUGGUCUGUGCCUUUCCAAUACAUUUUCACAGCUAUGAAGGCUUUCCUAAGCCAACCAGUGGGACAAAGUCCUUACUACAGAGAAUACAGAUAUUUUCUGGGCUUAUUUCCCUGUGCUGGAGUUCCCCAACACACACAGUGAAUAUGCUCAGGUUGCUGGCUUCCCAAAAGCUCACAUGGUCCAGAACUGCUAUCCAUAUUCCUCUGCUCCAGCCUCAGGAUGAACUCCCUGCUUCCCUGAAAAUAUGGAUGGUUCCCUUGAAGUUAAGCUGUGACCAUCACCACAUUCUCCAACUAAGUCCUGUACCUGACCUGCCAGAACAGCUGUACCACCAAGGACUGUCAUUCCAGGUAACUGAUUUUGUCCCUCUGUCCUGCUGCCCUGAUCAGCAGUGUUCCAAGGCCCUGAGCCUGCAGAGCCUUGCUCCCCUCAGCAAUCAGCAUGGGCACGGAGAGAGCCCCAGGACAAAGACUGCAUGGACAAAAUAUGCCAGAAGGGAAUUGUGGGACUACAGCAAUUUGAAGCAAGAUCCCAGAAUCCCUCAAGCUUCAUGCACCCAUGGCACAGAAAAAGUUUUAUAACCUAUGAAUCAAGCACAGUAGAUUAUGUAUUCCAAACAUUGAGCAACUAACGUGAACUGCUGGAACAUGCACCAAUUUACUAAGCUAUCACGUGUAGGCAAGACCUUUAUUUUUCAUUUCAAAUUAAAGAAAAAUUGAAAAAAAAUCAGGAACUGGCCCAUAAAGGAUAUUUCUUCAAAUUGGAUUCCAGUAAAUUUUCUUUGCUACAGAAAAUAUCAUUUCUCUUUUCCUACUUAGUUGUGCAAUAUAAUAUGUUAUAAUCACAUUUAGCUGGAACAAUAACAGUAGCACUUGCAUAAUAGGAACUGCAGAACCAUUCUUGCUCAACAGCAGCAGCAGUGAAGUCAUCUAAAGUUGAAGUAAUGACUUUGCUGGUCUUAAUGGCUUCUUCAAGUCUCAAUUCAAAGGGAAUUGGAAAUACAGCUAUCGGUGUGAACAUUUUCCAGAGAAUUUCUCAUAAAUCCAGAUGAUUUCAUUACUUCUCAGAAAGCAUCCUUAAAUUACAUGUAAAGGAUCAACUUCACAUUACAAAUGAAAAUGCCACAUAUGCAACCCAAAGAGAUUUUAGUUAGAAUGUCUAGAGCUGAUGUUCAAUCUCAACUUUCACUUUGAAAUUGCUGUUUCUUUAACAACAUGUAGCAGACAAGCCCAUACGAUUAGUCUGCUUUCAUUUAAUCCGUAUGAGAAAUUUCAUAACAAAGGAAUCAAAAAACAGCUGCAGGCAUUAAGUUAUUUUCAAGAAAAACUGUUUAAGUAGUAAAGGAUCUAAAUAUGUUUUCAAUAGCAUUUUCUUUUUUUUUUGUUUUUAUUUCCAUUGAAGAAGGAUUCACGGUCAUUCUCCAGCAGCCUGGUACUUUUGUUAUAUGGUGCAAGAUACAUAAAUCAUGUAUGUACCUUUUACAGUUAGCUUUAAGGAUACACUGCAAACAUAAGGACAUGCUAUCAGCAAAAGCUUAUCAAGCUGGAUUUUAGGCUCUAGGUGCACUUGCUACUCAAAGGAGAAAAAUAUCUCAGGACAAUAUGGUUAUUUUAAAAGGAAAAGCAAAAUCAGGAUUUAGACUAAAACAGAGAACCCCAAGGAAAGAUAGGAGGCAACCUGAUAGAUAAUUUUAAAAAAUAUUCCUAUCACAUUUUAAAAUUAUUUAGUCAUUCUAUAAUUUACUAAAGUUUACCAUUUCUUAACUGAUACUGUGAACAGCUGGAAAACAGAAUUAUGGCAAAGGCUGACUAGUGAAAGUGACUGAAGAAGUAAACCUACUUAAAUAUAUAUCACAGUAUAAAUAUUUAUUUAAUGCAAAUGUAUGAGCAGUUGGAAGAAAAAAUAGCACUAGAAAACCAGGUAAUUUUAUUUAAGGAAUUGAAGUCUUAGCAAUUAAAAUUCCAUAGAACACAAACAGGUGUUUGUUAUGACCCACAAACAAACACAGGUCAUUGUUAUGACCCGUUUAAAUGUUUGGGUUUUAUAGCACUGUCACUCUGAGCGAGAAUGCAGUCCUUCUCACAAUGUUACUAAUUUAAAUAUUACUGCAGAUUAAUUACUGUUUCUUUGGCCAAAUAGUAAGCAAUGUUUUAAAAUUACAUUUUAAACUCAGGGUUUUCAACCAGGGCACGAACAACAGCAAUAAUAUCAUCCUAGAGAACAGAGCUUCCAAAGUUAUUAUGCUCUGGACAAAACCAGCAUUAAGAAAAGCAGCUUAUUUUAAGGCACUAAAAUAUUUUGAAAAAUUUUCCAUCUCUCCUUCUAAUUAAGACUGGCCAAAUAACACCUAACAACAAAAAAGCUUUUGUUGGAAUUCCACCUUGCUGAGGACAAAAGUCUACCAAAGCAUUGCUAGGGGACUGUAAGCAAUACAUUUCCAUGGGCUGUCUUAUAGAACUGUGAUAUAAAAGGUUAUUACUUUUCCCAUAGAAAAACACUCUCCUUUUUCCUCUAUGCUAACCAGUCUAAUCAAUAGAAGGUAUUUACAUCCACAGCUAAGGAAUGUUCUGUUCCUGCUGGGGGACUGCAAGUUUCACUGAAGUACAUCCCACCCUCAUUGUACCUAUAAAGCACUCUGCAUACCAGCAGCUUAGAGCCCAAAUGACUGCACAUAUUUCUUAAACUAAAAAGAAUGCCCCCAAAAUAAUAAAUUUUAAAACCCCAACAAAAAAACCAAAACAAACAAAAAAUCCCCAUACAACCAAUUUUACCUU